Molecule: long non-coding RNA, 993 nt
Organism: Pyrus x bretschneideri (Chinese white pear)
Lineage: Eukaryota; Viridiplantae; Streptophyta; Magnoliopsida; Rosales; Rosaceae
Exons: 2
Source: RefSeq, a predicted model, not a curated record
ACAUAUUUCACUGUUAUUGCAUUUGGUAUGGGAAAAAAGCGUCAUUAUUGUCUUUCAUUUUGAAUUGGUGACGCUGGUGUAGAUCUUUCAAAUUGUAUGGGUAGACACUUAUUAUUAUUUAUUUGCAUGCCUGUGAAAAUGCCAGUGACAAUUUGCGGCGAUAUUCAUGGGCAAUUUCAUGACCUUGCAGAGCUUUUUUUAUUGGAGCGUUUUAUUGCUUGCAAUUUUGGAUUACUUCAAAUUAUGAAUGAAAAGGCUUUUUUUUAUUUUUUACAACAUUGUUGAGAGUGGGUUUUGCUUAAACUUUCGAGUUCUGAGUUUAUAUCAUGACAUUUGAUAUGGUUUCAUUUAUUUUGUGAAAUUAGAUACUUUUCUGUGCACAUUUUUCCUUAAAGUUAAGUCAAUUGAUUGCUCAUUUGGCUGUAAAUUUGACAUUAGUGAAUUCUGGACUUCAAUUUCAAUGAUUACCCAGUAUUAAUUGGUUAUUGAUUAACAUUUGUUUUCUGGAAUAUGGACUCUGAACAGUUCAAAGGUUUUGGGAAAGGAGUGCUUUUUAAUCAGGCCAAUUGGGUCCUCCUGGCAAUACAAUGUCGAAAUUUUUUAAAUCCGAGUCCGAGAGAUUUGGCAAGAUGCAAAUAAGUUGUGAUUGGUAAGUCAACGAUGCUGACCGAAGAUUUACGGAGUUGAGUACCAGGAUGAGGAGACUAGGAAUGAGUUUUGGCUCUUAAUAAUUGCUGCUCUGUUGCUUGGAAUUAUCAGUGCUUUCAGUUCGACUUCAACAAUACUAUAUGUGCAUCUUGAAGUUAUAGGAAUAUAAUUUACAUUUCAGAAUUUAAUUUAUUUUAAGUGUUCUGCUAAAACACAAACUUUGAGACUUGGUGGUGGCUUGCACUUUGCAGCCACAACUAAGACCAAGGGGUUGAUUUUUGUUUUCAUUUCCUUACCAAUUGGAAUAAAAGUGCAACCCACCAGAUAAGUAGUUAAUUAGUUAUA